RNAcentral lists this small RNA (145 nucleotides) under human gut metagenome. RNAcentral's name for it is "M-box riboswitch (ykoK leader)". It matches the Rfam family "M-box riboswitch aptamer (ykoK leader)", at positions 11 to 156 of the family's 169-position model. Rfam says of the family: M-box riboswitch, also know as ykoK leader is described as a metaloregulatory RNA that sense divalent metals and function as a genetic control element of genes related to divalent metal transport in bacteria. It was first reported upstream of the B.subtilis ykoK gene and genes with related functions in other bacteria. Phylogenetic analysis of the distribution of M-box RNAs across bacterial genomes revealed that M-box riboswitches are most often employed for the regulation of Mg2+ transporter genes The record is from RNAcentral. RNAcentral also lists the same sequence under 1 other name.
ACUUCCGGUAGGUAAGGCUACCAUAGGGAUAUGGGUUGCUGCCGCGUAACGGUGGAGACACUGUGAGCUGGUCAACAGAGCAUGUCGAAAACAAGGCGUGAUCUAACGCAACUGCACCGCCCUAUGAAGCUAAAGCUCAAAUGGC